This 219-nucleotide long non-coding RNA is filed under the name Lathyrus oleraceus (garden pea). Its description in RNAcentral is "Pisum sativum (pea) long non-coding RNA (PSAT_LNC013468)". Lineage: Eukaryota; Viridiplantae; Streptophyta; Magnoliopsida; Fabales; Fabaceae. The record is from RNAcentral.
AUUAUUCGGGGUCCAUUUAUGACGGUUGUCAUUCAUUGGGGUUCAUCUUCGGGGUUCAUUUGUGUUGAUUGUUAUUCAUAUUGGGGUUCAUCUCGGGGUUCAUUUAUGACGGUUGUCAUUCACUUGGGGUUCAUCUUGGGGUUCACCUUUGGGGUUCAUUUAUGACGGUUGUCAUUCAUAUUGGGGUUCAUCUUCGGGGUUCAUUUGUGACGGUUGUUA